GUCCCUGUAGCGCAAUGGAUAGUGCAUUGGACUUCUAAUCCAAAGGUCGUAAGUUCGAAUCCCACCUGGGAUG
Molecule: non-coding RNA, 73 nt
Organism: Trichonephila inaurata madagascariensis
Lineage: Eukaryota; Metazoa; Arthropoda; Arachnida; Araneae; Nephilidae
Source: the annotation of a GenBank genome assembly